RNAcentral lists this unclassified non-coding RNA (272 nucleotides) under uncultured fungus. RNAcentral's name for it is "sequence contains 5.8S rRNA gene". Lineage: Eukaryota; Fungi. The record is from RNAcentral.
GAACGCACAUUGCGCCUCAGAGUAUUCUUUGAGGCAUACCUGUUCGAGCGUCGUUUAGACCAUAAGGCUUUGCCUUGCGUUGAUUCUUCUGGAAUUCUCUUUAUUGAGUAUCCAGGAAUCUAAACAUGUUGGCGUCGUAGUUUGACCAAGACACAGCACAAUGUAUCUGAAAUCUUACUUAUUAAAACGAUUUGCCUUGAAUCAUCUAAUUUUUCUCACGAAGAAUUGUAGGUUCGACCUCGGAUCAGGUAAGACUACCCGCUGAACUUAAG